Molecule: non-coding RNA, 4222 nt
Organism: Camellia sinensis
Lineage: Eukaryota; Viridiplantae; Streptophyta; Magnoliopsida; Ericales; Theaceae
Source: RefSeq, a predicted model, not a curated record
UGAGGAAAUUAUAUAUCUUUUCAAAAAAAAAUAAAAUCAAAUCAAUGAUAAAUUUUAUAAAUAUUAAUAAUUAAAUUUAUAAUUUUUUUCACUAAUACGUGAAUAUUAUUGUAAAAGUUUCACUGUUGUGUAGUUUUCCCUCCAAGAUUCAACUAAAAUGAUAAACCCGUGUACUUAUCAUCUAGCGACCCUCUAUAAAUCAGUCCACCAAAUCCCUUACCAAAACUGUAGUCCUAGAGAGAGAGAGAGAGAGAGAGAUACAGUAAACAGAGAACCAGAGUGAGUCUCCGGACACUUUAAACCCAUUUUCUUGCUCAAAAAGGGGAGAGAGAGAGAGAGAGAGCUUUGAGAAGGGUUGUAGAGCAGAGACUUGUGUUCUAUUUUGCUCUAUUACUUUCUUUGCCAUUGAAGCUCAGGCUUUCUUUUCUAUCUCUUUAACUUCCAAAUAGGCUAGUUUGGUUCCACUUGAACUUUCCCAAAUUUCUCCUAUCUUCAUUUUUUACCAUUUUUAGAAUCUCCACUCCAAAAAGGUUGUUUUUUUAAUUACUUUUUCUUGGCCUAUUAACCCUAAUUUUCCAUUGGUUUCUGAGCAUUAAAGAUGUUUUUGCAUGUGAUGAUUAGUUCAGACUAGUCGAUUAUAGUAGUUCUUGUUUGAUCCUACUAGUAAUUGUUUGCUUGCCUUUUUAAAUUUUAUUCUAAAUUUUGGAUGUUCUUGUUUGAUAUUAGAAUGUCAUUUAAUUUUGACGUUUCUUGUAUUAUCUUGAAUGCAUCUCUGUUUUUGUCCUAUUGAUAUUAGAUUUUGUUCUUAAUUGAGAAUUAUGUGAGAACUUCAUUUUCUCUCUCAACAAGAUUUGCAAGGAAACUUUUUUUGUCAAACCAAACAGAUCAACCUUCCCGUUUGUCAUUUAAUAGGUUGUUAUGGACUUUGUUUAUUUUUUGAGGUUCUGAAGAAGUGAACAUGAUGAACUCAAAGCAAGAAGCCAAAAAUUUAGGGCUCAAAAGGGACCUCGUCUUCUUGAUCUUGUAGUUUCCCAAUGAGUAGAAGAACAGUGAAUCUCUUCACAAGUGUGAUCAUGUUGCAGCCAUUGCAAUCUUUGUGAAUGAACUCAAACUUUUUUCGGCAUUUAAUGAAGACGUGUUCAAUGAUUUGACCAAGCUAUUGACAUUAGAUGAUUUCAGAGAAAAUAAACUACUCGCUAGUUAUACUAAUGCAACAAUACAAGAUCGAAUAUGGUGGUUGUGUCCAGGGACCUUAUCAAGGCAAAUGUUGUUUUCCAUAAUAGGCUGAAUUUCCCCAACUUGGCAGAUUCAAGGUCACAAAACCUCAUUAACCAAAGCCUUUCCAACCCAUAGUAUCCGAUCAAAGCCCUUAGAAGAUGUGGAUGCAUAGUCAACCAACUGUAAAUCAUCCAGCUGUUUUUGGAGGAACUAUGGCUCCCCCAAUGAACCAGUUCUAGCUCACUGGAGCCUCAGGGGUCAUGAUGGUGUCACUAAAACAAUACCCUCUGGAAGUUCAGAUAAGACGAAACAAAUAGUCUGUAGUCUUGAUGGAUGUGCUAGUCCAGUGCUCAACAUAACUGAUGAAUUGCCCAUGAUUGUCAUUCGGACAUUGACUCAAGGGUCAUGUGUACUGACCAUGGGUUUUCGUCCUAUUCUACCAAUGGUACUUCUAGUUGGAACUGAUGUGGGAGACUUCAGAUUGUGAAAAGUUGGCUUGUGGGAGAAGCUUGUUUCAUUAAGUUUCCGAAUUUGGAACGAUGUUUCAAUUUCAACAUUAUUAAAAGCAAGUCAAUUUCAUACCUAAGUUGUAAUAUGAAACUAAAUUUUCAGGAUGACAUGAAAUCUAAUUUAAUCGUUCUAAAAUUCAGUCAGAUUUAGUCAAAGAUUCAUGCGCUGCAGUUAACUAUAUAAAAUGGAGCCCAACUGGUUCUUUAUUUGGUGAGUUAAAUUAUCCUUCAUAUGUAUAUAUAUGGAAGUGUCCAUUUAUUCUUAUAGGGUCUGAAAACACUGAAAUGGAUUGUGAUUUGAAUUGUUGUAAUUGAUUAACAUACCUGUUUUUUGUUCUAAUGAAACGGGAGCUGCGCAUUCUAAUCACAUGUUGCACUUGUACUCUUGCGAUGGUGAAAAUAAGGUUCAGCCCCAUUUAGUGGUCGAGGCUCAUAUUGGCAGUGUAAAUGAUCUUGCUUUUGCUAGUACCAGCGAGAACCUUUCGAUCGUUACCGAUGGUGUUGACAAACUAUUAAGGUGAUUGAGGAGCCUUAAUUAGUUGUAUUGUUUCCCAUCUUAAGCAAUGUAAAUUUAUAAAAGUGUGGGAUGUGGCUACUGGUGCCAAUUUGUUUACUUUUGAAGGGCAUGAGGCUCUUGUAUUUUGUGUUUGCCCUCAUGUCAUGGAAAAUUUUCAUUUUAUUUUUUCAACCUCGACCGAUGGAAAGAGAAAAGCAUGGUUAUAUGAUAUGUCCAGACCGUUGGUUCAUUGUGAUGCAUCAGGUGGAGUAGGGUGCACAAUAAUACUUUAUAGUAUCGAUGGUAAAAGGCUUUUUUCAUGUGGUACAAACCAAAGUGGGGAGACUCGUCCUGUUGAAUGGAUAGAAAAUAGGGGUAUUGAGCAGAUAAACUACAAAGGAUUGCAAAAACGUUCUUUGGGUAUUGUGCAGUUUGAUACAACCAAACACUGCUUCUUGGUUGCCAGAAAUUUGGGAAAUGGAUAGCAAGCAUCUCUUGGCAACUUCUGAUGUUGGGGAAGAUUUAACUGAAACUUCGUGUGCCUGCUUCAACAAGGAGGGCACAUUACUGGCUGCAUCUGUGAGGAACAACAGAAUUAAAAUCUUAGGAACCUUCCAUGGAAUUCAGUCAUUGCAAGCUUAUGAAAUGCAUGUAUCCAUUAUUGCAACUAAGAAUGGGGACCAAAGGAGCUCGAAGGAUGUUCCUAAAACAGUUGAAGUCAUCAAACCAAUAAAGACGUUGAAGAUCAAAGAAAUUCGUCGGCUUGCUCAAAUUCAGCCCUUGCCGCUUCUUGGUUCUGUCAAAAUGGCUAAGAUCUUCAAGCUAAUGUACACGAUUUCCAGUAAUACCAUUUUAGCAAUAGCAUCAAAUGCAAUCCAUUGCUUUGGAGGCAAAGACGAAGAAUCCCCCUCAAUUAUGGCAUCCAAAAUUGGGGACAUUGAUGACAAAUGACUUAACUAAUGUUAGAACUGAAGUGGUCAAGCCCCACUUUGCUUUGUCCAAAAAUGACUUUAACCUCAUUUCAACAUAUGGGGGUCAAGUUUCCUUGUUCAACAUAUCAACAUUUGAGAUUGAUCUUUCCUAAAUAUGGGAAUGCCACAGACAAUGGUGACUUUCAUGGGUCCACUGCCUGUGCCAAUGUAAAAUCCAAGCUGAAGGGUCACUCUAAAUCGAUCAUCAGCCUUGCCUUUCCUUCUCUGCUUAAUUUACCUGUUUCUGUUGCAGCGGACGAUCAGAUAAUUGUGUGGUAGUGCAAUAAAUGGAUACGUAAGAUGCAGUUUCCAGCAAGAAGAUCAACUGGGAAACUGUCAGAAACCGAGGUUCAGUUUCAGCAAGAUCAGAAACACUUCCUUGUCAUGCACGAGUUGAAACUUGCUAUGUUUGAAACAAUCAAGCUGGAAUGUGUUGUGUGGGUAACUUUGUUUUGUGUUUAAAUAAAAUGCUUUUUGGUUUUUAAUUUCCAGUGGACGGUUUGGGAGAUUUUGGCUCUGAUCUCACAUGCAACAUUUCAUGCAAUAGCCAGUUAAUUUACAUGGCCAUUUUGGAUGGAACUGUGUGCAUAUUUUGUGCUUCAAAUCUCCGACCAUGAUGCUUAAUUAAUCCUGCUGCUUAGCUUCUAUCCAGUAACAGUCAUGUGUAUACCCAGUAGUGGUUACUGUGAAUCCAAAUGAAUCAAACUAGUUUGCAUUGGGGUUAACUGAUGGCACUGUUCGUGUGUGCGAACCGCUUGAAUCAGACGGCGAAUGGGGUUCGAAAUCACUAUGUAACAUCUCAAAUGCAUUUCCAGCUAUCGAGUCUAGUUCCAGAUCAACUCCAGCGUGCAACUAAGCAAAUGAAUUAGCUUUCUUGAAAGUUUUAUGGUUAUUGAUAGUUAGUUUCAGGUUCUAUGGCUGUUGAUAAUUAGUUUUAAGCUCUAUGAUUAUUGACAAUUUACUCCAAAUUGGUGUCUUUAGAAGGCAAAUACCAAAAAUAUCGAACAAGGUUUUGAAUUUUCUUCUGA